UUAAUCCAGCUCACAUGUGAAUUUCAUGACGCUAGUGCAGUUUGUAAACAUUCCCUUUUUAGUCCAGUUUAACGGGGUGUUUACGGUUUAGAAAAUGUUGUUGUUAUUUGCACUUGCUGGAAACGGAAUAAACUUUAAUAAGUUGUUGUUGUUUUUUUUAUUUAUCUAUUAGCCUUCUUGAACUGCGGGUGCUUUGCUGACGAGUUCCUACAACAUGUCUUGAAUUUAAGAGCCAGAAUUUAUGACUGUGCUCCUAUGGUUCGAUUCUCAAAGUUGCCUUUCAGAUGAUUGGUGAGGAAAUAUGACUGUGAUGUGUGUUUCACCCCCAUGAUCAUUGCAGCUGACUUCAUGGGCUCUGCAAAAGCCAGAGAGAGUGAAUUAACCACCAACAAGUCUGAUCGACCCUUGAUUGUCCAGUUUGCUGUCAAGGAUGCACUGACGCUGGCAGAAGCAACUUGUUUUGUCUCUCCUUUUUCAGAUGGGGUGUAUCUGAACUGUGGCUGUCCACAUUGAAUUCAUAAAGAUAUGAGGAAGACAGUGGACCUCUGUCAGAAGGUGGAGGCGGCAGGGUUGUCCUGGAUUACAGUGCACGGUCGUACAGCUGACGAGAGGCAUCAGCUGGUUCACUGGGACGCCAUUAAGACGUCAAGGACAGCCUCUCCAUCACAGUCAUUGCCAAUGGUGACAUGAAGAGCAUGCAGUAUGUGGAAACCGCCUGUGACCUCACAGGAGUGGAUGGUGCGUGUCAGUUGCGUGACAUUUGAUGUCAGGGUCCAAACUUUUGGUGUUUAAGUUAUUUUCUUUAAGUGCUCUUUAGUGCUGCUCAAUUGAAAUGAAAUUGAAAAUCCAGAUAUGAUCUUGUGUAAUUAUUAAACCACAGGGCUGUGAUUGAGUGUGCGUACUGCUUGCUUCAAAGCUCCUGUCUGUAUUGUGUUAGUGCAUUAUUACAUUGUUUUCAGAGUGCUUCUGUGCUCCACAAUUUCAUCUCAUGUUCAGUAACAGAUGUGCUCUAGUCUAGUUUGAUUCCUUUUGCUUACGUGCACGGAGUUAAUUCCAAAUAUGUUUAGCUGCUACAAGUUGGUAUGCAAUUACAAAUAAUAAUUUGGAAGUCCUAUGGCACAGGAGGAGGAGAACAUGUUAAAAUGAGGUGCACAUAAUACAGCUGUUGUGACUUUGAACUUGGCUACAAAAGUCUUCCUGCAGUUGUCAGCCAAAAUAAACCAAGGAACUCUAAACUGUCAAACUUUUAAGUGGGCCGUAUAGCAAUGUCCUGUGCAGGUUAAGAUUUUAUUACAGAAAUAUGUUACCAUUGUAUAAUAAUACUAAUAAUUUAAAUAUUACCAUAAUAUAAUAUUUAAGUUGACAGUGUUCCAAAAAUAAUGAUGAUGAACAGUGGGCUGAGACAAAGUGUACAAAAAAGACAUACACAGUGGAUAGGGUACAAUGUGAAUACUAAGAAGACAGUGUUAUUUUCUGUUUGUUUCAAUUUUAUUUUAUUUGUUUGUUGUUGUUUUUUUUGGGGGGGGAGUUUGGUUCUUUGUAAGAGGAUUCAAUUGUGAACCCUUAAAGAAUAGCUCUUUUUAUUGGCAGUGGAGCAUGGGCAAAACAUUACCAAAUUUUAGUCAAAAGGAAUCGCUUAAUAGUUUUUUUGUCUAGUUAUAGAAAAUUUGCAAUUUGAAAAAUAAUUUUAAAUCAAAGCAUAAUAAUUUAAUUCAAGGUUUUCCUCUCUUUGGAGUUUUAUCCAUAGAAAUGAGUGUCAAUGCUGUAAUUCACACAAAUUGCCACUGGUGGACGUCUGUACCGGUGUUGUUCACAAAUCACUGCAGUUCAGCUCCUCCAACUCAAUAAAAAAAAAAAUAUAUAAAUAUUAUUUUGGGAUUUGUUUUUUGACAGUAAUCGCUAAGUUAAAACUCAUUUCAAAACAAUACUAAAUAAUUUAAUUCAAGGUUUUCCUUUCACUGGAGUUUUACCCAUAAAAAUAAGUGGCAGUGGUAUAAUCCACUCAAAUCACAACUGGAGGGCGUUUGCCGUUGUGUAAUUCACUCAAAUCGCCACAGGAGGGCGUUUGCCGUGAUGUAAUUCGCUCAUAUCGCCACAGGAGGGCGUUUGCCGAGAUGUAAUUCGCUCAUAUCGCCACAGGAGGGCGUUUGCCGAGAUGUAAUUCGCUCAGAUCGCCACAGGAGUGCGUUUGCCGUGAUGUAAUUCGCUCAGAUCGCCACAGGAGGGCGUUUGCCGUGGUGUAAUUCGCUCAAAUCGCCACAGGAGGGCGUUUGCCUAGAUGUAAUUCGCUCAAAUCGCCACAGGAGGGCGUUUGCCUAGAUGUAAUUCGCUCAUAUCGCCACAGGAGGGCGUUUGCCGUGAUGUAAUUCACUCAGAUCGCCACUGGAGGGCAUUUGCCGUGGUGUAAUUCAUUUAAAUCGCUUCGUUUUGUUUUAUCUCAAUUUUAAAAUUAUUUUUAAAACUACAGAACACUCAAAUUGGAGAUGUCUGGGUUCAAAUCCCUUUUAUGCAUUUUAUUAUUCUCAUGUCAUCUUCAGAAUUAUUCAAAAGAAUAAAAGCUACCAGAGCACUAGGAGGAGUGAGUACUUGGUAGCUCACUAUGGAAGAACAGCGCCUUCAGACCAAAAAAAUACAGUGUUUAAAACCUGUUUCUUUAGCUUGAGAAUUGUUUUAAAGACUUUUUCUCACAGAACAAGUGUCAUGGGCCUUUAAACCUGAGAAGUGAUGCUUCAAAUGCCAUUCAAGACAUUGAAUUAUGCUUAAGAAGUUAUUAACAACUUGGGCACAGAGACCAGCACAAGGAGAUAGCUCGGUGUGGAAGGAGAUCCCUUUCAAGCCAGAGAAGUAUGGGUUCAGAUCCCAAAUGUCUGGAGCUAUUCCAAGCCUUGAGCUGUUCUUGUUUUUAACUCUUCAGAAUUAUUUAAAAGAUUUGGGGCCCACAGAACAGGCACAUCUGUGAGCAUUUGGUAGCUCAGUGUGGGAGAAGAUGGUAUUUGAACCAGGAGAGUCUGGGUUUGAGCCUUGGCUGAGACACAAUUGGACAGUUGAUGUUGAAGGAACUGAACUGGUAAGUUGGAAGGGUUUACAAGGUGUUUUUUUAAAUAUGCAAAACUUAAACAGAUUGCUAGGAAAAGCUUGCAUCCUUGUGCAUAACCAUUUGAAUCCAUCUUCAAGGAACCCGGGGGGGGGACCACACUUCAUCAUCCCCCCCUUUCUUGGUCAGGUUAUGCCAACUGGCCUUCACAUACAGGACAGUCACCCUGAACCACCUGGUUCAGUUUUAGUGCUCUUACCACUGAGCCACUGGAGCCUGCACAUUAAGAGCACUUCUCCUCGGAGCUUUAUCCUACACUCUAUGUCUGGCCUAUGGAACAAAAAGUACAAAGCAACAUCAUUUUGAAGUGACUUGCACCAUCUCCUAGACACCCAGUUUACUGGGAUGCAAGCCCAGAACUUCAGGUUUGUGGGUGCUUUGCUCUACCAGUUGAGCUACUGGCUUUUUAGGUUUGACUCUUUGUUAUAUUUCAGUCUAGACAUUAAAAAAUGAAACACUAGUGCUUAACUCUGGAGCCACUGAGCUUGGUUUACUUUUCAUUGUGUUUGGGGGGGGGCUGAUCUGUUACUUAUGACUAAAGAAACUUAAACACUGCAGGUUUUUAACCCAGACUUCCAGGUAUUUAGAGCAAAUGCUAAUCUACUGUGCCGUGUUUGGAGCAUUUAACUGUGUGUCUUUGGGGUUGAUGGUUUGUUACAUUUGACUUAAGAAACCUAAAAGAUGGGGGACUUGAACCCAGACUUUCAGGCAUGAUGGGUGAAUGUUAAUCUCUUGAGCCACUGAUUCAGGUUGUUUGAGUUUGGGGUUAAUGCCUUGUUACAUUUGAUGAAAGAACCUCAACAUUUGUAGGACUUGAAACUGGACUUUCACAUAUGAAACACAGAAGUUCAUCUGCUUAACCACUGAGUUGGGUGCGUUUUGCAGUCUGUUUUUGAGGUUGAUGCUCUUUUACACUUAACUUAAGAAUCUUAAAAGUUGCAGGAUGAACAUUUAACUCAUGAGCCACUGUUUGUAGUUUUGUAGUGUGUUUUUAGGGUUGAUGGCUUGUUAUAUAUGAUGAAAGAAACUUAAAGAUCUGGAACUUAAACAUUCAGGGAUGAAAGGCAAACAUUUAUCUCUGCAGCCACUGAGUUUGGAGUGUUUUGUGAUGUGUUUUUGGGUCAGUCAUGUAUUAAAACAUCUGAAAAUGAAAGAAUUGGACCAAAUGUCUUAACAAUCAAGACAUUAAGAGUAUUAUUAAUCCUUUACAAGUUUUCUCAAACUCUUUUGCUGAAAUGUAAAAUGUCAUAGUACAUACAUAAACUUAAUACACCAUAAUACAUAACUUGUAAAUAACUAAAUGUGGGUUUGAAGUAUAAAUGCUUUUAUUCAAAGGUCUUUAUAUGCAUUGUGUCAUGUUUUGUGUAGAAAAGAAACUAGGCAAAAAGUCCUGCAUUUUUUUGCACUGAUUUUAUUGUUCAGUGACACUGCAUGUGUAAUAGGCUUAAUAUUUGUUUCUCAUAAGCAAUAACAAGGCCAAAACUGCUAGAAAAACACACCAGAGAAAUCUCUACCAUGUGAUUAAAAUGGCACAAUAUUUAAGAAAUCUUUAGGACUUAUAAUACAUCAAAUAUAGAAACAGAAUAUUCCUGAGGACCCACAGGCACUGGUAUACAGUACUUUAAUCUCUCAAAUCAUGUUAAGCUACAAAGGCGGUUGUGAGAAAGUUCAACAAAUGCUAUUACAGAGAGUCCAAUGGUGUAUCGGGGUACAGAGCUACUAUUGUAUAUACAUGAAUCCAUAAAUAUGGCUUUGGGCCAGAUUGAUUGGCAUGCAAAAAUUGCACAUUUAGCCCACAGAUGUUAGGAUUACAUCCCAUCUGUUUUCCUAAUGCAUAGUGAUGUCAAGCAGGGCCAGCCACACCUUCACCAAAAUGACCUCCCCUAAAAAACCUUCAGAAAGACACACAAAACCAUUAACCUCAGUCAGAGUAUAGCAUUCUCUCUAAAAACAUGAGCAAUAGUGAUAGUGAUCUUUGCCUUGGCAAGCCACACUCAUUGGACAACUUGGCUAAAAGGUGUCAAUUUUGCACGGUUUCAGCAGGCCCGGCUCCAAAGGGGGGCCUGGCCCACCCAAUCAUGAACGUGGCCCACCUUGAGAACUACACCCACCUCUCCAACUGUUCGGCCCACCUUACAUCAUAGAGCUGGAGACAGGCCUGGGUUUCAGGACAUAAAUAUACAGUAUAAGGUUUGGUGCCCCCUAGAGGUACAAAUGGUAUUUACAUAACCCUAACCGUACACACCGUUUGCACACCACAGGCUGUGCAUGAGUGGGCUUGUUGCUCAAACACAAAAGUGUCAGACAGAGUACUUGCUCAGACAAAUAUGGAGGAAAAAUCAACAUACAGCAUGUUACAUUAGUUAUUGUUUAUCUUGGACCUUAGAUCUUAGGGUUUAAAACAUGGGGCCCAGGGGCCACAAGGUGGUGCUAGGGGGUACGCAGAAAUAUUAAGAGAAAAAUUAUGUAAAAGGACUGAAUUUGACAUUAUUACUGUUUUAUUCUGAUUUUUAAAGACUACAUAUAAAUUGAAAUUGAAUUGAAAAUAUUUUUCAAGUUUGUACCGUUGCUCUGUUAGUUGGUACAAAAAACAAUUUAUGCUGCCAACUUAAUACAAAGUUAAUAUUUUUUAAAUAAAUUAUUUCGGCUUUAGUGCAAUGACAAUACAAAUGGUACUCAUUGCAUCUUGUUGAAACUUGUUGAAACUACAGAACUGUCCUGAAAUGCGGCAUAUUGUUGUCUGGGUCAGGUACAGAAAUUUGCAAUGACAAUAUCAUACUGCUGCACAUUUUUCAUUCAAGUCAUUAUAAUUUAUAUAGCACUUUUCACAAUACAAAUAGCUUCAAACAAGGGUGUAGGUUUGGUUGGAAAGUUGAUAGGGACAUUCUUCAAAAUGUUGAUAUUAAGAAUGCAAGAAUGUAUCAUGUCUAUAGGCACAAUAUUUCCUCAUAUAACAAGUCCAAUGUUUUUUCCUCUGCCCCACCAUAUUAAAUAUGAGCCUAUUUUGUAUUAGCACUAUUUUGAUCACAAAGUUUUAAUUGUAUUUCCUGUAUUUUAUAGACAAAACAUGUUUUCCCCAUCUUUUCCCAACUACCCCGAUGUUCUUCACCAAUGUGCAAAAUAAAACGUAUUGGCUAAAUGUUUGCUAUACUUUGUGUGCAAAACAUUAAUUAAAAAUACAAACAUAGACUGAGCUGCUUGCUUGACUCUCUCACACAUGC
Long non-coding RNA from Myxocyprinus asiaticus (Chinese sucker), 6315 nucleotides. RefSeq lists it as uncharacterized. The record is from RefSeq and is a predicted model, not a curated record. The transcript is spliced from 4 exons. NCBI's taxonomy places the organism in Eukaryota, Metazoa, Chordata, Actinopteri, Cypriniformes, Catostomidae.